GUCUUUGGGAUGAUCUAGGCCAUGCGAGUCAUUGUAGUAAUACAAGGCAGACGGCUCAGUAACGCGUAGUCAACCUACCCUAAGGACGGGGAUAACCUCGGGAAACUGAGAAUAAUACCCGAUAGAACAUAGCUCCUGGAAUGGUUUAUGUUUCAAAUAAUUUAUUGCCCUAGGAUGGGACUGCGGCCUAUCAGUUUGUUGGUGAGGUAAUGGCCCACCAAGACUAUUACAGGUACGGGCUCUGAGAGGAGUGGCCCGGAGAUGGGUACUGAGACACGGACCCAGGCCCUAUGGGGCGCAGCAGGCGAGAAAACUUUGCAAUGUGCGAAAGCACGACAAGGUUAAUCCGAGUGGUUUCUGCUAAAGGAACCUUUUGUCAGUCCUAGAAACACUGAUGAAUAAGGGGUGGGCAAGUUCUGGUGUCAGCCGCCGCGGUAAAACCAGCACCUCAAGUGGUCAGGAUGAUUAUUGGGCCUAAAGCAUCCGUAGCCGGCUUUGUAAGUUUUCGGUUAAAUCCAUGCGCUCAACGUAUGGGCUGCCGGGAAUACUGCAAAGCUAGGGAGUGGGAGAGGUAGACGGUACUCGGUAGGAAGGGGUAAAAUCCUUUGAUCUAUUGAUGACCACCUGUGGCGAAGGCGGUCUACCAGAACACGUCCGACGGUGAGGGAUGAAAGCUGGGGGAGCAAACCGGAUUAGAUACCCGGGUAGUCCCAGCUGUAAACUAUGCAAACUCAGUGAUGCAUUGGCUUGAUGCCAAUGCAGUGCUGCAGGGAAGCCGUUAAGUUUGCCGCCUGGGAAGUACGUACGCAAGUAUGAAACUUAAAGGAAUUGGCGGGGGAGCACCACAAGGGGUGAAGCCUGCGGUUCAAUUGGAGUCAACGCCGGG
RNAcentral lists this ribosomal RNA (886 nucleotides) under uncultured archaeon. Its description in RNAcentral is "bacterial SSU rRNA". It matches the Rfam family "Archaeal small subunit ribosomal RNA", at positions 29 to 922 of the family's 1478-position model. The record is from RNAcentral.